This 459-nucleotide ribosomal RNA is filed under the name uncultured bacterium. RNAcentral's name for it is "partial 16S ribosomal RNA". It matches the Rfam family "Bacterial small subunit ribosomal RNA", at positions 338 to 795 of the family's 1533-position model. The record is from RNAcentral.
CCUACGGGAGGCUGCAGUGAGGAAUAUUGGUCAAUGGGCGCGAGCCUGAACCAGCCAAGUCGCGUGAGGGAAGACGGUCCUAUGGAUUGUAAACCUCUUUUGUCGGGGAGCAAAAGACGCCACGCGUGGCGUUCCGAGAGUACCCGAAGAAAAAGCAUCGGCUAACUCCGUGCCAGCAGCCGCGGUAAUACGGAGGAUGCGAGCGUUAUCCGGAUUUAUUGGGUUUAAAGGGUGCGCAGGCGGAAGAUGAAGUCAGCGGUAAAAUUGAGAGGCUCAACCUCUUCGAGCCGUUGAAACUGGUGUUCUUGAGUGGGCGAGAAGUAUGCGGAAUGCGUGGUGUAGCGGUGAAAUGCAUAGAUAUCACGCAGAACUCCGAUUGCGAAGGCAGCAUACCGGCGCUCAACUGACGCUGAUGCACGAAAGUGUGGGGAUCGAACAGGAUUAGAUACCACAGUAGUC